GCCUGAAAGUUGUUGGGACACGACUCUUUCUAAGACUUUAGAGAAGAAGGGAAGGUUGGAUACUGGUCGAUAGUUAUUUAGCGAUCCUGGGUCGAGGUGUGGUUUCUUAAGUAGAGGCUUAACCACAGCAGACUUAAAACUAGAAGGGACAACACCAGUCAUGAGAGAUGAGUUAACAAUAUUUAACAUUGUAGGUCCCAGUGCUGGACGUAGUUCUUUAAACAGUUUUGUCUGAAAGGGGUCCAGGACGCAGGUAGUUAGUUUAGAGGAUGAGACAAUUUUAGACAGUAUCUGAAGGGAGAUAUUUUCAAAAGUGUUUAGAGCUGAGACUAACUGAGAAUCGGCAGCAGGUAAUUUUUUGACAAAGUUUGACAAGGAAGCCAGAGAUGAUGAGUUAAUUUUAAUUCUGAUCUCAUCAAUUUUAUUGCAAAAGAAAUCUAAGAAAUCAUUUGCAUUAAAGGGUGCACAGCUCACCGACUGUGGUUUUUGAGUAAGUUUAGUCACAGUGUUAAAGAGAAAUCUAGGAUUGUGUUUAUUAUUGUUUAUUAGGCUGGAGAAAUAUGCAGUUCUAGCAGUAUUUAGAGCACGCUUAUAGUUUAGUACACUAUCAUGCCAGGCAAGAUGAAAAACCUCCAGUUUAGAUUUACGCCGGGUUUCGUCAGUAAACCAGGGAGUAGAUUUCUUUGGUCGUCUUGUCCUGGUAGAGACCGGUGCCACAGAAUCGAGGAGCGAAACAAGGACAGGCUAAUGAUGCUUCAAAUGUAAUGAGAAAGUGGUCCGACACAGCAGAGGAGACAGAAGCGACGUUCAGGGCUGACACAUCAAGUCCAUGGGAAAUGAUCAAAUCCAGAGUGUUUCCACUGGAGUGAGUGGGUUCAUGGACAAGCUGAAUAAAGUUGGAAAUAUCAAGAAGUCUCAAAAAAGCUUUCCCUAGAGGGUCAGAGGGCUUAUUUAAGUGAAUUUUGAAAUCCAAAAUGAUUAGGAUUUUAUUGAACGCGUCACAAGAUCUGCAAUAAAUUCACCAAAUUCUUCUAGGAACUGGGAGUAAGAGGUCUGUACAGUACAACCAGGUGAAGCCUGUUCCCUGGACAAGGCUGUUACUAUUUGAUGAGGAUGGUUUUAAAACCAGAGCCUCAAAUGAAGUAAAUUUAAUAUCCUGGUUGGAGCUUAGGC
Molecule: long non-coding RNA, 1173 nt
Filed under: Sparus aurata (gilthead seabream)
Lineage: Eukaryota; Metazoa; Chordata; Actinopteri; Spariformes; Sparidae
Description: lncRNA (ENSSAUG00010002852.1)
Source: RNAcentral